GCUACACCCCGUGCAGCCACGCUCUCCUCUUCUCUCUCAGCUUCCAUUUCUCUGAAGCUGACAGAAAUAAAGAACACCACCCCCAACUGCAAAUGCGAAGCAACGCAAUAUUUUCAAGAAGAGUAAAAAUAAUCUUCAAAAAAAAACAAACCAGUAAACGAUAAUGGCGAUCUGCAAACGUUGCUGAUGAAAGAUUCCCUCUAAUUUUUUUUUUCCUUUCUAAAAGACUGUUCCUAUUUUUUUAAUGGGAUUAAGUAAAAAAAGAAUUCGGUUUGGUCUCUGCUGCUACACUGCCGAGCAAUUAAAAUAAAUAAAUGCUGUUUUUGAAAGUUAACAAAGCUUGUUAGACACUUUUUGUAAACUAAAGCUGACAACUUUGGCCUUUUCGUUGUCGUCUUCGUCAAGUUACUGAGGUUAGGGUAUAUUUCUUUUCUUAGCUCUUUUUACUUACUAGUAUUGUCAUACAGUGCGUGAUCAUUUUUGUGCGUGUUUGGCUGCCGAGAAUGUUUUGCUCAACUCAGUUGAGCUUAUUUUACUUCUUUUCAGUUUCUCUGGAAACAUAAGGGAAUUGCCUUUACUUCUUUAUUUUAUUUUGGUUGUUAUUUUCUGGGCAAUCUUUUCUGCUUGCGUUUGUUUGUUCCAUUCAAUUCAAAAUCUAUUAUUGUGAUUUUUCUUUCUUUAAUUUUCCUAAACUUUCUUUCUUUUCUGUGUUCUUCUUUGCAGUUGAAUUUUGAGUCUGCAAGUACACUUUUUUCUUUGUUAUGCUAGUACUCAUGUUUUAAUAUAAAUUCAUCUCCCUUAUGAUUUGCAAUUGCUCCUUUAUCCUUUUGCUUUUCUGAUAGUAAAUCGAAGAAGGAAAUUGAAGUUCUUUUCAAUAAGGGAGUGAUCUCUGUAUUAGUUGGUAGUCAGUGCCUUUUGUGGUAUGGAAUUCAGGUUUCAUUUUCAAAAAUUAUGCCAAAUUGAAACCCGGAGAUGGCUUCUUGUGGUGGGGGCAGUGGCUAUAACUCAUAUACUGUUUCAAUCUCUAUUGCUUCCGUAUGGAAAUGCUCUCAGGUCUUUAUUGCCCAAUAGCAAUGAUUUAACAUAUGAUAAAAGCAGCUUUCCAAUCAUACUAUCUUCUACAAAGUCUCUGAUGGUUCGUAAUCCUCUCGCCAUUGAUGCUUCAAGUUUGAGUAAAGGCUCCAUCCUUAAUGGUGUGGUGGUGAAAGAUGCUGCCACUGCCGGUAGAAGUGGAGAUGGUAGUCAUGACAGUGGAUUACAGAGAAACAGAGGAGACUCAGACAGUGAUUUUACAUCUGAGGACGAAGACCAGGAUAAUCCUAUUGAUCUUGCAGUAGAUAAUGAUGGAGAUAGUGUUGAUUUUGUAGAAGAGGGUAUGGACAAUCCUAUCGAGCUUGUUGUGGAUAGAAAUGUAAAUGAUUUCCCAUCUGGAAAUGUCAUGGAUAGCAAUGGGACUUCUUCAGUGGAAAGCAUCAAAAGUAAAGAAAGUAAUUCUUUAAUGGAAUUUAGUGGCAAGCGUGACCUUCCCAUUGAUCAAAAUGGAAAGUCAAAACAUGAAAUUUCAAUAGACAAUAAUCUGCCACAGAAAGAUUUGGGGCGCAUAAAAAUUGCUGUUAAAUCAUCUCCACUGGAAUCAGAGAUAGUAACUUCAUCAACAAACAUCAGUUACCCGAGAUCAAAUGGAAGUUCCUCUGUUGGUUCUGCUAUCCAGAAAAAUGGCUUUGCAACUUCAAAAAAUGAUUCUGCAAAGAUGGUUAACCCUGCAGGGAAAAAGAUGAAGUAUGAGAUGCCUCCAAAAUCAAUAACAUUGAUAGAUGAGAUGAACCAAAUAUUAGCCCGAAAUGGUCGGUCUACGCAUUCAAUGAGACCAAGAUGGUCCUCCCAUCGUGAUCAGGAGAUUUUGGCUGCAAGGUCACAGAUUGCGAAUGCUUCUGUUCCAUUGAAUGAUCGAGAUCUUUAUGCUCCUCUCUUUCGAAAUGUUUCCCAGUUUAAAAGGAGUUAUGAACUCAUGGAGCAUACACUCAAAGUCUAUAUCUAUAAGGAUGGAAAGAAACCCAUCUUUCAUCUACCAAUAUUGAAGGGAUUGUAUGCCUCGGAGGGAUGGUUUAUGAAACUGAUGCAGGGAAACAAGCAUUUUAUUGUGAAAGACCCUCGAAAGGCUCACCUGUUUUAUAUUCCAUUCAGCUCAAGAAUGCUUGAGUACUCCCUUUAUGUGCGUAACUCCCAUAAUAGGACAAAUCUACGCCAAUAUUUGAAGGAAUAUACAGAGAAAAUUGCAGCUAAAUAUCCUUACUGGAACAGAACUGAUGGAGCAGAUCAUUUUCUUGUAGCUUGCCAUGAUUGGGCUCCAUAUGAAACAAGGCCCCAUAUGGAGCAUUGCAUCAAAGCCCUCUGCAAUGCUGAUGUCACUUCAGGCUUCAAAAUAGGGAGGGAUGUGUCCCUUCCUGAAACACAUGUCCGGUCACUCAGAAAUCCUCUCAGAGAUCUUGGAGGAAAACCACCUUCUCAGAGGCACACUCUUGCCUUUUAUGCUGGUAAUAUGCAUGGCUAUCUGCGACCGAUCUUGUUGAAGUACUGGAAAGACAAAAACCCUUCGAUGAAGAUUUUUGGUCCUAUGCCUCCUGGUGUUGCAAGCAAAAUGAAUUACAUCCAACACAUGAAGAACAGCAAGUAUUGCAUUUGCCCUAAGGGUUACGAGGUCAAUAGCCCCAGAGUAGUUGAAGCCAUCUUUUAUGAAUGUGUACCUGUAAUUAUAUCAGAUAAUUUUGUGCCACCAUUUUUUGAAGUCUUCAAUUGGGGGGCAUUCUCUGUAAUCCUUGCAGAGAAAGAUAUUCCCAACCUGAAAGAAAUAUUACUUUCAAUACCAGAAAAGAAGUAUCUUGAGAUGCAACUUGGGGUCAAGAAGGUUCAGCGACAUUUUCUUUGGCAUGCCAACCCAGUGAAGUACGAUCUCUUUUACAUGACCCUUCAUUCUAUUUGGUAUAAUAGAGUUUAUCAGAUAAAACCAAGAUAAGAGCGCAUCAGUGAUCAAGGUGGUAGGAAACUGUGAAGAAUCCAUCCUAUUUCAUUUCCUGUCAAGCUGUAGAGACUUCCGGUUAAAUCUGAGAAACAUGUAAAAGCUCUUGUAUCAUAUCAUCUCGUGACGGUUUCUUUGUAUAAAACUGUUCUCGUCUUGUAAAACAAAAUUGUCCAAGGUUCUGGCAGACUUAGGGUUGGAAUUUCUUCAGCAAAAUAGUUAAGAAUCACUUUUUCUGAAUCAAUGAACUUUAGUAUACUAGUAUAUUCUCAAGUUCGAACUCCAAAC
This 3304-nucleotide unclassified non-coding RNA is filed under the name Hevea brasiliensis (rubber tree). Lineage: Eukaryota; Viridiplantae; Streptophyta; Magnoliopsida; Malpighiales; Euphorbiaceae. The record is from RNAcentral.